CCUACGGGAGGCAGCAGUGGGGAAUAUUGGGCAAUGGACGCAAGUCUGACCCAGCAACGCCGCGUGAAGGAAGAAGGCUUUCGGGUUGUAAACUUCUUUUAAGGGGGAAGAGCAGAAGACGGUACCCCUUGAAUAAGCCACGGCUAACUACGUGCCAGCAGCCGCGGUAAUACGUAGGUGGCAAGCGUUGUCCGGAUUUACUGGGUGUAAAGGGCGUGCAGCCGGAGAGACAAGUCAGAUGUGAAAUCCACGGGCUCAACCCGUGAACUGCAUUUGAAACUGUUUCCCUUGAGUGUCGGAGAGGUAAUCGGAAUUCCUGGUGUAGCGGUGAAAUGCGUAGAUAUAAGGAAGAACCCCAGUGGCGAAGGCAGAUUACUGGACGAUAACUGACGGUGAGGCGCGAAAGCGUGGGGAGCAAACAGGAUUAGAUACCCUUGUAGUC
Molecule: ribosomal RNA, 442 nt
Filed under: uncultured bacterium
Lineage: Bacteria
Description: partial 16S ribosomal RNA
Rfam family: Bacterial small subunit ribosomal RNA
Source: RNAcentral